AUGUUUUGUAAUAUCUGGUUCACCAGACAACCCAACCAGCACUACAACAUUUUCGUGAGAGACUACUACUGUUACAUGCUGCAAACACGGCCUGCAAUCUUCAAUCCAAUACUCUGUGGAGCACGCCUACUGCAGCAAUGGGCGGUUGACAUGUACAUCAAGAUUGAGAGCUGUCGGUUGAGAGCUGCUUAUUGGAGGAACAAGGCUAAGCGUAUCGAAGAUCAAAACAAACGUCCAUCUGAUACUUCAGGUAUACGCUUACAUUCAGUAUCCCUUUCGUUGUCAGGCCGUACUAAUCAAGAUGGCACUCCUCAGAGCCGAUAA
This 324-nucleotide ribosomal RNA is filed under the name Triticum aestivum (bread wheat). RNAcentral's name for it is "partial small subunit ribosomal RNA". Lineage: Eukaryota; Viridiplantae; Streptophyta; Magnoliopsida; Poales; Poaceae. The record is from RNAcentral.